GGAGAGGUGGCAGAGUGGUCGAAUGCGGUUGCCUCGAAAGCAAUUAUCCCUUCAAUAUGGGAUCGAGGGUUCGAAUCCCUCCCUCUCCUCCA
RNAcentral lists this transfer RNA (92 nucleotides) under Candidatus Babelota bacterium. RNAcentral's name for it is "tRNA-Ser". It matches the Rfam family "tRNA". Rfam says of the family: Transfer RNA (tRNA) molecules are approximately 80 nucleotides in length. Their secondary structure includes four short double-helical elements and three loops (D, anti-codon, and T loops). The record is from RNAcentral.